RNAcentral lists this ribosomal RNA (263 nucleotides) under uncultured bacterium. RNAcentral's name for it is "partial 16S ribosomal RNA". It matches the Rfam family "Bacterial small subunit ribosomal RNA", at positions 335 to 615 of the family's 1533-position model. The record is from RNAcentral.
CGUCCUACGGGACGCAGCAGUGGGGGAUAUUGCACAAUGGGGGAAACCCUGAUGCAGCGACGCCGCGUGGGUGAAGAAGCGCCUCGGCGCGUAAAGCCCUGUCAGCAGGGAAGAAAAUGACGGUACCUGAAGCAGAAGCCCCGGCUAACUACGUGCCAGCAGCCGCGGUAAUACGUAGGGGGCAAGCGUUAUCCGGAUUUACUGGGUGUAAAGGGGGCGCAGACGGCGAUGCAAGUCCGGAGUGAAAGCCCACGGCCCAACCG